This 200-nucleotide ribosomal RNA is filed under the name uncultured bacterium. RNAcentral's name for it is "partial 16S ribosomal RNA". It matches the Rfam family "Bacterial small subunit ribosomal RNA", at positions 8 to 208 of the family's 1533-position model. The record is from RNAcentral.
AGAGUUUGAUCCUGGCUCAGGACGAACGCUGGCGGCGUGCUUAACACAUGCAAGUCGAACGGAAAGGCCCUUUCGGGGGUGCUCGAGUGGCGAACGGGUGAGUAACACGUGGGUGAUCUGCCCUGCACUUUGGGAUAAGCCUGGGAAACUGGGUCUAAUACCGGAUAGGACUACGGCCUGCAUGGGUUGUGGUGGAAAGC